GACGAACGCUGGCGGCGUGCUUAACACAUGCAAGUCGAACGGAAAGGCUCCAGCUUGCUGGAGUACUCGAGUGGCGAACGGGUGAGUAACACGUGGGUAAUCUGCCCUGCACUCUGGGAUAAGCCUGGGAAACUGGGUCUAAUACUGGAUAUGACCUUUCUCCUUAUGGGGUUUGGUGGAAAGUUUUUCGGUGUAGGAUGAGCCCGCGGCCUAUCAGCUUGUUGGUGGGGUGAUGGCCUACCAAGGCGACGACGGGUAGCCGGCCUGAGAGGGUGAUCGGCCACAUUGGGACUGAGAUACGGCCCAGACUCCUACGGGAGGCAGCAGUGGGGAAUAUUGCAUAAUGGGCGGAAGCCUGAUGCAGCGACGCCGCGUGAGGGAUGACGGCCUUCGGGUUGUAAACCUCUUUCAGCAGGGACGAAGCGUAAGUGACGGUACCUGCAGAAGAAGCACCGGCUAACUACGUG
This 467-nucleotide ribosomal RNA is filed under the name uncultured bacterium. Its description in RNAcentral is "partial 16S ribosomal RNA". It matches the Rfam family "Bacterial small subunit ribosomal RNA", at positions 28 to 507 of the family's 1533-position model. The record is from RNAcentral.